RNAcentral lists this ribosomal RNA (468 nucleotides) under uncultured bacterium. RNAcentral's name for it is "partial 16S ribosomal RNA". It matches the Rfam family "Bacterial small subunit ribosomal RNA", at positions 28 to 507 of the family's 1533-position model. The record is from RNAcentral.
GACGAACGCUGGCGGCGUGCUUAAUACAUGCAAGUCGAACGGAAAGGCCCUGCUUUUGUGGGGUGCUCGAGUGGCGAACGGGUGAGUAACACGUGAGUAACAUGCACUUGUAUUUGGGAUAACUUCAGGAGACAGGGGAUAAUACAGCAUAGGAGCUCCUGCUGCACAGUGGGGGAUGGAAAGUUUCGGCGGUUGGGGAUGGACUCGAGGCUUAUCAGCUUGUUGGGGAGGUAGUGGUUGACCAGGGCUUUGACGGGUAGCCGGCCUGAGAGGGUGACCGGCCACAUUGGGACUGAGAGACGGCGCAGACUCCUACGGGAGGCAGCAGGGGAGAGUAUUGCACAGUGGGCGGAAGCCAGAUGCAGCAACGCCGCGUGCGGGAUGACGGCCUUCGGGUUGUAAACCGCUUUCGCCUUUGACGAAGCGUGAGUGACGGUAAUGGGUAAGGAAGCACCGGCUAACUACGUG